Molecule: ribosomal RNA, 253 nt
Filed under: uncultured bacterium
Lineage: Bacteria
Description: partial 16S ribosomal RNA
Rfam family: Bacterial small subunit ribosomal RNA
Source: RNAcentral
UACGGGGGGGGUAAGCGUUGUUCGGAAUUACUGGGCGUAAAGCGCGCGUAGGCGGCCCCGUAAGUCCGCUGUGAAAGUCAAAGGCUCAACCUUUGAAAGCCGGUGGAAACUGCGGGGCUAGAGUCCGGAAGAGGCGAGUGGAAUUCCUGGUGUAGCGGUGGAAUGCGCAGAUAUCAGGAGGAACACCAAUAGCGAAGGCAGCUCGCUGGGACGGUACUGACGCUAAGGCGCGAAAGCGUGGGGAGCGAACAGG